Molecule: ribosomal RNA, 449 nt
Filed under: uncultured bacterium
Lineage: Bacteria
Description: bacterial SSU rRNA
Rfam family: Bacterial small subunit ribosomal RNA
Source: RNAcentral
GACCAGACUCCUACGGGAGGCAGCAGUGGGGAAUAUUGCACAAUGGGGGAAACCCUGAUGCAGCGACGCCGCGUGAGUGAAGAAGUAUUUCGGUAUGUAAAGCUCUAUCAGCAGGGAAGAAAAUGACGGUACCUGACUAAGAAGCCCCGGCUAACUACGUGCCAGCAGCCGCGGUAAUACGUAGGGGGCAAGCGUUAUCCGGAUUUACUGGGUGUAAAGGGAGCGUAGACGGCAUGGCAAGUCAGAUGUGAAAGCCCGGGGCUCAACCCCGGGACUGCAUUUGAAACUGUCAGGCUGGAGUGCAGGAGAGGUAAGUGGAAUUCCUAGUGUAGCGGUGAAAUGCGUAGAUAUUAGGAGGAACACCAGUGGCGAAGGCGGCUUACUGGACUGUAACUGACGUUGAGGCUCGAAAGCGUGGGGAGCAAACAGGAUUAGAUACCCGAGUAUAA